Molecule: small nuclear RNA, 193 nt
Filed under: Rhinopithecus roxellana (golden snub-nosed monkey)
Lineage: Eukaryota; Metazoa; Chordata; Mammalia; Primates; Cercopithecidae
Description: U2 spliceosomal RNA (ENSRROG00000020560.1)
Rfam family: U2 spliceosomal RNA
About the family: U2 is a small nuclear RNA (snRNA) component of the spliceosome (involved in pre-mRNA splicing). Complementary binding between U2 snRNA (in an area lying towards the 5' end but 3' to hairpin I) and the branchpoint sequence (BPS) of the intron results the bulging out of an unpaired adenosine, on the BPS, which initiates a nucleophilic attack at the intronic 5' splice site, thus starting the first of two transesterification reactions that mediate splicing.
Source: Rfam by way of RNAcentral
AUCGCUUCUUGGCCUUUUGGCUAAGAACAUGUGUAGAAUCUGUUCUUACCAGUUUUAAUACGCUGAUAUAUCCUCUAUCUGAGGACAAUACAGUAAAUGGAUUUUUUGAGCAGGGAGAUGGAAUAGGAGCUUGCUCCAUCCACUCCACACAUCCACCUGGUAUUGCAGUACCUCCAGGAAUGGUGUAACCCUC